Molecule: ribosomal RNA, 253 nt
Filed under: uncultured bacterium
Lineage: Bacteria
Description: partial 16S ribosomal RNA
Rfam family: Bacterial small subunit ribosomal RNA
Source: RNAcentral
UACGGAGGGCGCAAGCGUUGUUCGGAAUUACUGGGCGUAAAGGGUGCGUAGGCGGCCAUGUAAGUCGGAUGUGAAAUCCCUCGGCUUAACCGAGGAACUGCGUCCGAUACUGAAAGGCUUGAAUCCGGGAGAGGGAUGUGGAAUUCCAGGUGUAGCGGUGAAAUGCGUAGAUAUCUGGAGGAACACCGGUGGCGAAGGCGGCAUCCUGGACCGGUAUUGACGCUGAGGCGCGAAAGCUAGGGGAGCAAACGGG